CGGUACGUGUGGGCACGGCGCACUCCAUUCCCUCAGGGUUUCGGUGGGGCUUUUUAAGUGACAAAAUUUAAUUCUGAGGUUUCAACCAUCACAACCCAUCUUCCACCUGCUAAAUUUCAUUUCAGAAGAAUGUUUGAAACAGCUUACAACAGCUAAGAAGUUAGAUUUCAAAAUAUGGUGCAAUGAGGAAAAAUAUUGAAAGCAGUUUAUAUUAUUCAGUCUAAGAUCCUUGAAGAAGAAAGCAGAAAAAGAUAUGCAAAGUGUUCUUUGAUCACAGCAAAGUUCUCAGGCUACGUUUCUUAGAGGAUACAAAAGCAAAGUAAAAAGGAGAAUAGAAGAGAUGUU
Vidua macroura (Pin-tailed whydah) is the source of this 345-nucleotide long non-coding RNA. RefSeq lists it as uncharacterized. Lineage: Eukaryota; Metazoa; Chordata; Aves; Passeriformes; Viduidae. The transcript is spliced from 3 exons. The record is from RefSeq and is a predicted model, not a curated record.